UCUGAGAGGAUGAUCCGCCACACUGGGACUGAGACACGGCCCAGACUCCUACGGGAGGCAGCAGUGGGGAAUAUUGGACAAUGGGCGCAAGCCUGAUCCAGCCAUGCCGCGUGUGUGAAGAAGGCCUUAUGGUUGUAAAGCACUUUAAGCGAGGAGGAGGCUACUUUAGUUAAUACCUAGAGAUAGUGGACGUUACUCGCAGAAUAAGCACCGGCUAACUCUGUGCCAGCAGCCGCGGUAAUACAGAGGGUGCAAGCGUUAAUCGGAUUUACUGGGCGUAAAGCGCGCGUAGGCGGCUAAUUAAGUCAAAUGUGAAAUCCCCGAGCUUAACUUGGGAAUUGCAUUCGAUACUGGUUAGCUAGAGUGUGGGAGAGGAUGGUAGAAUUCCAGGUGUAGCGGUGAAAUGCGUAGAGAUCUGGAGGAAUACCGAUGGCGAAGGCAGCCAUCUGGCCUAACACUGACGCUGAGGUGCGAAAGCAUGGGGAGCAAACAGGAUUAGAUACCCUGGUAGUCCAUGCCGUAAACGAUGUCUACUAGCCGUUGGGGCCUUU
This 551-nucleotide ribosomal RNA is filed under the name Acinetobacter rhizosphaerae. RNAcentral describes it as "bacterial SSU rRNA". It matches the Rfam family "Bacterial small subunit ribosomal RNA", at positions 291 to 833 of the family's 1533-position model. Lineage: Bacteria; Pseudomonadati; Pseudomonadota; Gammaproteobacteria; Moraxellales; Moraxellaceae. The record is from RNAcentral.